Molecule: ribosomal RNA, 759 nt
Filed under: Vibrio cholerae
Lineage: Bacteria; Pseudomonadati; Pseudomonadota; Gammaproteobacteria; Vibrionales; Vibrionaceae
Description: partial 23S ribosomal RNA
Rfam family: Bacterial large subunit ribosomal RNA
Source: RNAcentral
CGUGAUAUCCUGUCUGAAUAUGGGGGGACCAUCCUCCAAGGCUAAAUACUCCUGACUGACCGAUAGUGAACCAGUACCGUGAGGGAAAGGCGAAAAGAACCCCUGUGAGGGGAGUGAAAUAGAACCUGAAACCGUGUACGUACAAGCAGUAGGAGCACCUUCGUGGUGUGACUGCGUACCUUUUGUAUAAUGGGUCAGCGACUUAUAUUCAGUGGCAAGGUUAACCGUAUAGGGGAGCCGUAGCGAAAGCGAGUCUUAACUGGGCGCUCAGUCUCUGGAUAUAGACCCGAAACCGGGUGAUCUAGCCAUGGGCAGGUUGAAGGUUGAGUAACAUCAACUGGAGGACCGAACCGACUAAUGUUGAAAAAUUAGCGGAUGACUUGUGGCUAGGGGUGAAAGGCCAAUCAAACUCGGAGAUAGCUGGUUCUCCCCGAAAGCUAUUUAGGUAGCGCCUCGGACGAAUACUACUGGGGGUAGAGCACUGUUAAGGCUAGGGGGUCAUCCCGACUUACCAACCCUUUGCAAACUCCGAAUACCAGUAAGUACUAUCCGGGAGACACACGGCGGGUGCUAACGUCCGUCGUGGAGAGGGAAACAACCCAGACCGCCAGCUAAGGUCCCAAAGUAUUGCUAAGUGGGAAACGAUGUGGGAAGGCUCAGACAGCUAGGAUGUUGGCUUAGAAGCAGCCAUCAUUUAAAGAAAGCGUAAUAGCUCACUAGUCGAGUCGGCCUGCGCGGAAGAUGUAACGGGGCUAAGCA